RNAcentral lists this long non-coding RNA (5523 nucleotides) under Solanum melongena (eggplant). RNAcentral's name for it is "long non-coding RNA (SMEL_LNC000063)". The record is from RNAcentral. Lineage: Eukaryota; Viridiplantae; Streptophyta; Magnoliopsida; Solanales; Solanaceae.
AUCCAUGAAGGCCCUUGCAGCCAUGAAGUAUCUUCCUGGAACUCGGUUGGCGCGAACCAGAACAUUUGUAGUCUGGCCUGGUGCAAUUAGAAUUGCGUCUGUGGUGAAUGGUUUCGUGUAGACUGCAUCAAUUUCUACCACUGUGAAGGUAUGGUUAGCCAGGGCAAAAAAGAGCUCAUCAUUGAGAGCAGCAUUGACAAUUCUCAACAGGUAUGUCUUUCCUUUUUCAACUUCCAUGGCAAAAGUAUCUGAAAAGAAAUUCAAACAUUGGAUUAUGUUGGAAGCAAAUACUCUUAACAACCAUAUAUGAUUGAAAUAUUCCACUCAAUAUCAAAAUCUUCCAUUCUUACGUUUCUCAGAACAUGGAAAAAGAGGCCCUGGCUUUCCAUUGAUCGUGUGAGCAUCAGACAUAUUAGGAGGAAUACCCAAUGCAUUUCCUUGUUUCUCAACUGCUUCAACAUCAGCAUUCCACCAUUCCCCUGCAUCACAAUCAGAUAGAAGCAUUGCUGUCAUUUAAUUUCUUUCAUUCUUUGCUACAAGAGAAGUUCAAGAAAUUAUGGUGGUGAAAUUCUAUGUAUAUUAACGAGUGCCAACGCUCACCUAGUACGAGUACUUCUUCCCUAUCUGGUUGAGGAAAAGGGAAGGGAGUGCCUUUUUGUGGCAUUAUCACUAUUGCACCAUAGACAGUUGCCCUUAGCCAAAGAAUAUGUGCAUGCCACCAUAAGGUUCCUCUUUGUCCUGUUACAUUGAAAUCAUAAACAUAGCUAUUUCCUGUCUGGAUAGGGCAUUGAGUUAUGUAAGCUGGACCGUCUGCCCAACCAUUACGAUAUUGUUUCAAACCAUGCCUACAAGAAUUAGAACAAAAACAUUCUGUUUCAGCAUCUGAAAGUUGAGAGACUUCAAUUUUCAUCUACUUCUAAUUUUAUCUUACCAAUGGAUGGACAAGUUAUAUUGUACAUAGUUAGUAACAUUGAUUUGAACUCUAUCUCCUUCUCUAGCAUAUAUAGUUGGCCCUGGAAAUCCGCCAUUUACUGUAACCAUUUGUUUUGCAUUGCACAAUCUGCUCACAUUUGACAAUUUCACCUGUAAACCACAAAUAGUUUACCAUGAUGAAAAGAUUUCAACGAAAAGUAAACAAAAUUCAAAAAUUGAAAGUACUAACAUCAAAUUGAUAUUUCUUAAGGGCAGCCUCAACAGGUAGACAAAUGAAACAGAGAAAUCCAAAGGCAAGUAAGCCUAAAAAACUUGUCUGCUUUGUCAUUUCCUUAAUUGGCUUAGAAACUCUAUGACAAGUAUGUGGAAUGGGAUGAGACUAAGCAUAUUUAUAUACAAGGGAAAUGUCAUAUAAGUUGUUAAGGGAAAAGGAAGUUGUAAGAGAGAUAUAUUAGGUACAUAAAGUAUUUGAAUUUGCUGUUACUGCAAAGCCUUUAAGCAAUACAAAGAUGUAGACAUUUUUAAAGCCAUUGACUGACGUAGAGGCUAAAUUCAAAAUCCACCACAUUCAAGCUCUUAACAAAAAUAUAAAUUAGUUUUAUGAACUUUACCUUAACGGUAAAGAAAACAAGUUUGCCCAGCUAUAAGAAGGUGCAUGUUAAUUAGAAUGUAGGUAUAUUUUUGACGGCAGUUUUAUUGGUUGGUCAAAAAAAUAGUAUAUUGAUUUAGACGUAGGAAGGAAAGAAAUUAUUAUAGUAUUACUAAAAUAAAUAAAUGUUCGUUGUGCUAUUGUAGUCAUGUAAACCUACUAUGAAUAUCACCAUUUUCAUAUUUUUUUUAUGGCUAAUUUUAUUAUCUCUGACACUGAAAUAGCAACUUCAUUCAUUAGAAUUUUCUAUAGAUUUACUCUUCUCUCAACAAGCUGCUUUACUCUCUUUUUUUCUUGCAUGGUAUGUUAACUAAAAAAAAUAUAAUUUUAAUAACUCAGAAUGGUAAUUGAUGCCGACUCAAGCACUUUAAUGGCUUAAAAUCAAAAAUAAAUUAGAGCUCUUAAAUUUUUUUGAAUAAUAAUAAUACUUUUUUUUUAAUUUUAAAUCUAUUAUUCUAGUUUUCUUUUAAGAUGCGAAGUGUUUGGAAAUGCAUAUCUUAAAAAACUAUUUUGAGAUGCAAAGUUGUUUCUUUCUUUUUAUAUGCAAAAAUAUUUUAUUUUGUAAAUAGUACUUUUUCAUUUGUCUAAUUUUGGCUUGAUAUAGUGUUUUAAGUUUAAUAAGAAAUAGCAAUAUUUUUUAAAUCGUAUAAUCUUAAAAUAAAGAUUAAAACUAACUUUAUAAUUUUGUUCUAUUUUUUAAGAGUAGUUGUAAUAAUCUUACUAUUGUUAAAUAGAAUCUUUAAAUUUGGAGGCCUAAAGUAAGUGUCUUAUUUUUCAAAUACAUAUAGUAAUCAUAGAGGUGUCAAAAUAGGUUAUCCUAACGGGCUAGAGAGUUAAAUGGAUUGAAACGGGCUGAUCCCUUUAAUUAAAGGGCCAAUAAAAUAGCGGCUCAACCCAAUUCUAAACAGGCCAUGGGUUGGGACGGGGUGACCCUUCAAUCAAAAAAUGAACAAUAUUACUCUCUUAAAAAGAGUACCGAAUGUUGACGCCUAUGAACACGACAUCAAUUCAUAAAGAAUUCACUUAUAAAUCACACACUUCAAUGAAUACUUACAAAAAUACAUUUGUGAAUCACACACUUUGGUGAAUACUUAUAAAAAUACAUAAUAGUCAACGUAAGAUUUAGCGGAUAAAUGUUGAUCAUUUCACCAUUUCUCCCACAAAAACUAGCUGGUUUAAAAGAUUUCCAGCAACACAAGGCAGCCUAAAUACUAAACAAAUCUAAAUAUCUAAAUAUUACAUGACGCAUUAAUUAAUGUUUUAUAACUCCGCUUCUACUUCCACUGUCGAUCACAUUUGAAUCAACAUGUGAUAUUAUUUUCUUAAGAAGUUCAUCUUCAUCUACAGUUCACCAUGCAAGAUGAUAUUUCAAAAUAUUUGAUUUUUUAUUUUUCAAAAUAUUUAUUCAUAAAAAUUUUACAAGUAAAACACUAUUAAAAAUAUAUAUAAAAAUAUUUUAAAAUAUUAAUAGCCCAUGGACUGGCCUCUGAGAUUUGGGGGUGGGCCUAAGAGGCCAACGGGCCAAAUAGGGCGGGCUAAAAAGCGUCGUUCAUAAAUGGGCCAAAAAUAUUAAGCUCAACUCCACUUAUUUCAAGGGUUGGGUUGGGCCGACCUUGCGGGCCAAACCCACUUUGACGGCUCUACAUAUAGAGCCGUCUAACUUAACCCCGCACUAUAACUUUUUGGAGGUAAAUCACAAUCAAUUCUUAAUGGUAUUCCCUCUGUCCACAAUUGUUUGACAAGUAUACUAAAAAUAGAUGUUUAAGAUUAAUUGUCAAUUUAAACAAUCAAGAAAUAAUUAGUAUUUUUUUCAAUUUUGUCCUUAAUAAUCACUCCAUUUUGUUCAAUUAAAAAGUUAUGUAGAUUUUUGAUAUCCUUGGUAUAAUUAGGUUAUAUUAAUCAAAUUACACUUUGUAUUAAAUUUUUCUUGGGAGGAGUGCAUGAACCUUACCAUGACAAAUAAUUAGAGAUAUAGGGAGUAUUUUACAAGUAAAAUGAACCGCUAAUAAAUACGUGAAGUUCAGUAAAAAUUAAUAUAGUACACCUUUUUAAGAUCAUUUUGGGAAUGAAAAAUGUUGAACCGACAAAGAUACGGUACACUUACAUUUAAACAUUGUUCUACGUUACUAAUGUUUUCAAUUUUAUUUGUUAUUUCACCAGAUGUUUUAAACUUCAAGGUGCUAGUACAAUUUUCCCCUAAAAACCAUGGUCAAAUUCUUCAUAGAAUUAGAGUUAUAUAUGCAUAAAAUUAAUCCCUAUUUCACUUGCAUCACUUUCCAAAUCAGGCACUACUAGAAAAAAUCAGAAUUUCCAAUAGAAAAUUCUGGUAAUGUCUUCCCCUUAAGUUUCUGUUCAACUUUUUAAGACUUCCAUUACCUGAAUAAAUACUCAAAGAACUGUUUGUGCAGUCGUGUAAUUUUUUUGUUCUCAAGCUUGAGGGGAUUUUUUUGGGCUUUUGCUCUAAAUUUACACAGUUUUGUAGCAAUUUUACACAGGUUUGCUAUAAUUGUUUAAACUGUCAAAGUCAAGUAGUAUCAACAGACUAUAUUUCAAUCCAAGUAGAUAGGGAAGUCCCUAAAAAACAACAGCCCAAAGUCACAUUUUUAUGUGUGGACCUUUAUUACAACUCAAAUUACAUUUAAAUUCCUCCUUCAUUUUUCCAAUUUUGCAUAUUUUUCCUAUUCACACUGUCUAAAGUGUGUAUAUAUAUAAUCAUCAAAGUCUUUUGUUUCCUUAUGGGAAAAUAAAACAAAUCUGUAAACUUGCACAAGAAAUCCAUCUGAACAUAUAAAAGUAAAGCCUUAGCAUGAUGGAAGGUCCUUUGGUGGAGGCAGAAUACUAUAAUCUGAUCCUGCUCCAUUUUCCACUAAAAAUGCUGUUUUCAGUCCCCAGCCUGUGUGCAACUCCAGAUGACAGUGGAAAAACCACACCCCUUCACAAAAAAUUAGGAUAUGUUUAACAAUAAAUUUUCAAAACAAUAGAGAAGUUUUAACUAAAUUUGGCCGAAAACUGGGUACCUGGAUUAUCAGCUCUGAAUCGAAUAGCAGUCCAACCACCAGUUGGAACACCUACAGUAUUUCUUUCAAUAGGAUCAAUCAGGUUGUAUUUUGCUGGAUCUUUUUUGGGGUCAAAGUUUCCAAUGCCAGUUCCAACCACAAAGAAAUUGUAGCCAUGGAGAUGGAAAGGAUGGGAUUCCACCGAUAACAAGUUGGUGUCUUGGAUUACUAUUUCAACUGUGGAAUUGAAAGCAAUUUUACUGAUCCUAGUGCCUACAUUUGUCCUUAGGUUGGCUGUAAGGGGUGCCCCUGUAAAAUUGAAUGGAGUAGGUGGUUUGUCUGGGAAAUCUGGAGUGUACACACCCUUAAUGUUGAAGUAAUGAGAUUGAAGAAGUGCAGUUUGUGGCAUGAUAAAGGAUAUGUUGUUCAAAGAAGCUGUUAGCCUAGUUCCAUUUAGACAGGUGGGGCAGGGAUUUAUCCCAAGGCCAACUGUUAACAGGAGGUUUCUAUCAACAUUUAGGGGAACGUUUGCUGGAUAUUUGGGAGUAUUUAGGCUUUUGAGUUUAGAGUUAUAGCUCAAAGCAAAGUCUGAGUCAUUUUGUGCAGGCAAGGUAGGAAGUUUUGGAAUCACGGUUUCUGGGAUUCCCUUGUACUGGAAAAUAGCAGUGGCAGUCUUGUUAUCCACACUGAUUGGAGCAUCCAUGAAGGCCCUUGCAGCCAUGAAGUAUCUUCCUGGAACUCGGUUGGCUCGAACCAGAACAUUUGUAGUCUGGCCUGGUGCAAUUAGAAUUGCGUCUGUGGUGAAUGGUUUCGUGUAGACUGCAUCAAUUUCUACCACUGUGAAGGUAUGGUUAGCCAGGGCAAAAAAGAGCUCAUCAUUGAGAGCAGCAUUGAUAAUUCUCAACAGGUAUGUCUUUCCUUUUUCAACUUCCAUAGCAAAAGUAU